ACACACUUCGCUUCUUUCACUUCUUCUUUUGGUUCCAUCUCUAUUUAAAAAGUAUAGUCUUUUUUUUUUUAACUUGCUGGAUGUGGAAAAAAAUGCAUGGUAAAAAAAAAAUUUAAAGACAUAUUUUAAUUUUAUAUUUCAAAGGUUUGUAAUAGCAGUUUGUUUGUUAAAAACAGGCCUUAGCACAUGGAUGAGAACCAGGGCUUUUUCAAAAGCCUCAUCUUUGAGCUCUUACCCAAAUGAUAAAGACCUCUUGGAUCUUUCAAACUGUAAAUAUUGUGUAGUUUAAAAAAAAAAAAAGGCUAACUUCUUUUUUAAGAAAAAAAAAAAAGGCAUCAGAUAGAUUCUAGGUGCGUAACAAAGCUAAACUUUUAUAAGAUUCUGCUUAGAAACUUUCAAUGAAUUCCCUCUCUUGGGAAGGCCCAGCAGAAAAAGUCUGUUUCUGCCACGUUGGUGUACUUUCCUGGGGCCACGAGGAAAAUCAUUCUAACCAAGCCUCUGAGUACCUGGGCAAUAAUGUGAGGCACAUUUCCCUGGCUGGAGUGUCACCAUAGCAACCAUAGAGACAGCGGGAUGCUCAGCCUGGGCAUGUGUUUCUUCUACAAGGAAGUCAUGAGCCCAAUGUACUGUUGCCUAGACAGGAAAGCUUUCCUCUGGGGGCUGUGGGGAGGAUUCUGUUGCGGUUCUUCCUUUUGCUUAGGCAUGUGGUAGCCCUGAAUUUGAAUCUUCAUCUCAGCUCUCCCCAAGCCAUUCCAGCCACCGUUGAAGCCUUUACUCUCCACAAAACCAGCCUUGAAGACAACAGGUUCCUAAAAGGAUUCCCAGUGUGCUUAGGCAUCCAGCCAUCUGCCUUACAAGGGUAUUGUUGGAGGGACUGUCUGUCUUCCCGUGCUUGGAGCAGAGGCAGGGGGCGGGGGUUAAGACAUCAAAUGGAAAGGUUUCAUGUGUAGGGUUUAGAGCUCAUGAAAUGGUGAUAAUAGAGGAAGAUGGGAGGAAAGAAGAACGCAGGCAUAAACAAGUUUUUCCACUGCUUGCUAAAUCAAUUCUUCUUUGGCCACCUUGACUCCAGUCCUUACCCUAAGAACUGACUUAGCUAGAGAGGCAUUCCCUCUCAGGAUGUGAAAACCUCCAGCCUGGACUGUAAGGUGCCUUCAAGUCCAUGGCGUAUUCGGACGGAAGAGCCUUACUUCAUCGUAAUUGCAGAUUUCCAGAAAAAUGAAGUAAAAUCAUCUAUAGAAGCAGGCAUCAUCCGGGCCAAUUCUGUGCAUGUGACUGAACAAAUUGCCUUUCAUGUCUGUUGUACAUUUUGCUAUGAUUUUACUUUUCUGAGACAUUCGUUUUCUCCUGUCUUGAACAUG
Molecule: long non-coding RNA, 1358 nt
Filed under: Mus musculus (house mouse)
Lineage: Eukaryota; Metazoa; Chordata; Mammalia; Rodentia; Muridae
Description: long non-coding RNA chr9:95566577-95567935
Source: RNAcentral